AUAAAUAUUUCAUUUCCUCGAGUGGGGAUCGAACCACAUAAUAUUCAAAAAGAUUAUUAUGUGGUUCGAUCCCCACUCGAGGAAAUAGUAUAUAU
RNAcentral lists this microRNA precursor (95 nucleotides) under Heliconius melpomene (postman butterfly). The record is from RNAcentral. Lineage: Eukaryota; Metazoa; Arthropoda; Insecta; Lepidoptera; Nymphalidae.